Molecule: long non-coding RNA, 365 nt
Filed under: Phascolarctos cinereus (koala)
Lineage: Eukaryota; Metazoa; Chordata; Mammalia; Diprotodontia; Phascolarctidae
Description: lncRNA (ENSPCIG00000017560.2)
Source: RNAcentral
GUUGGAAACAGUUAGAAGGGCUUUCGGGAGCGGGCGACCGUGGCACUUCGGAGCAGCGCCUGUCCCCCCUCAGCCCUAGAAAAUGAUCAAGUCAAUCAUGUGGACAUGCCUCAUUAUUCAUUGAACACAAUCUUUUACAACGCUUCGUUUACGUGCCGGAGUUUGCUCCCUACUCGUUUCUUUAAGUGUUUAAGGUCUUAUUUUUACAGUUCCUGACCAUCAGUCUCUACCCUACAUCUUUAAGAAAUUCCCUCAAUCAAGAGCGAGGUCCGUUGCUUUAAGGAUAACCUGGUAAGAAACAUCCAAUUCAUGGCAUAUUAAAAUGCUAUCUGUUUAUGGGUCUGUAUGGGUAAACCAAACUGCUA